Molecule: non-coding RNA, 665 nt
Organism: Ictidomys tridecemlineatus (thirteen-lined ground squirrel)
Lineage: Eukaryota; Metazoa; Chordata; Mammalia; Rodentia; Sciuridae
Source: RefSeq, a predicted model, not a curated record
GUUCACAGAGUUGACUAGUAUUAUAUGGGGGAAAAGAUACAAAUUAUGGAAUAAUGCCAGAAAAAUUAGCCAACACUGGACUCCAAGAUUUUUACAGCUAAGAUUAGAAGUCUGGUGGGCAGAAUCAAGAUUGAGCCUGUUCAUGCUUAGUUCAUCAUGUGGCCACUGCUCUGUCAUACUGCAUCUUGCCUGUUGGGUCUGAAGACAAAGAAUGGAACAUCAAUAAUUAAAGAGAUUUGGAAUGAUACAACAUGGUCCCAAUUUUAAGAACAACGUGGGCUAGUAGGAGACAGAAACCACAGAGACAACCAGGUAAAAAUACUUGUAAAGCACCAUGAUAACUUGUGCUACAAUAAAAGGAGUCGUAUAUACAGACAGUAGGAAGAAUGGCUGUAAAAGGGACAACUCUCAAAACGUAUUUGAGAACUUCUUGAUGAGUUAGAAGGAUUGGAAGAAGGAUUGGAAGAUGACAGCAGGAGAAAAGGAAGAAAAGAACUAUCAAUAAUUGUGGUUAUGCAUAUUGCUCCAAUUUAUAAGAUCUCUCCUAAAGUAGACUUUAAGCAUGCUACUGGGAUGUGUCUACACCCACCUCAGCCCCUCCCUUAUAUCAUUCCUGGUUUGUCCCAUCCAAUUGUGAGGAAUUAUAAUGUAUAUCCUCUUGCCAA